UACGGAGGGUGCAAGCGUUAAUCGGAAUUACUGGGCGUAAAGCGCACGCAGGCGGUUUGUUAAGUCAGAUGUGAAAUCCCCGAGCUUAACUUGGGAACUGCAUUUGAAACUGGCAAGCUAGAGUCUUGUAGAGGGGGGUAGAAUUCCAGGUGUAGCGGUGAAAUGCGUAGAGAUCUGGAGGAAUACCGGUGGCGAAGGCGGCCCCCUGGACAAAGACUGACGCUCAGGUGCGAAAGCGUGGGGAGCGAACAGG
This 253-nucleotide ribosomal RNA is filed under the name uncultured bacterium. RNAcentral describes it as "partial 16S ribosomal RNA". It matches the Rfam family "Bacterial small subunit ribosomal RNA", at positions 524 to 776 of the family's 1533-position model. The record is from RNAcentral.